Molecule: ribosomal RNA, 497 nt
Filed under: uncultured bacterium
Lineage: Bacteria
Description: partial 16S ribosomal RNA
Rfam family: Bacterial small subunit ribosomal RNA
Source: RNAcentral
GAUGAACGCUGGCGGCGUGCCUAAUACAUGCAAGCCGAGCGAACGGACGAGAAGCUUGCUUCUCUGAUGUUAGCGGCGGACGGGUGAGUAACACGUGGAUAACCUACCUAUAAGACUGGGAUAACUUCGGGAAACCGGAGCUAAUACCGGAUAAUAUUUUGAACCGCAUGGUUCAAAAGUGAAAGACGGUCUUGCUGUCACUUAUAGAUGGAUCCGCGCUGCAUUAGCUAGUUGGUAAGGUAACGGCUUACCAAGGCAACGAUGCAUAGCCGACCUGAGAGGGUGAUCGGCGACACGGGAACGGAGACACGGUCCAGACUACUACGGGAGGCAGCAGUAGGGAAUCUGCCGCAAUGGGCGAAAGCCUGACGGAGCAACGCCGAGUGAGUGAUGAAGGUCUUCGGAUCGUAAAACUCUGUUAUUAGGGAAGAACAUAUGUGUAAGUAACUGUGCACAUCUUGACGGUACCUAAUCAGAAAGCCACGGCUAACUACGUG